RNAcentral lists this transfer RNA (99 nucleotides) under Collariella sp. IMI 366227. Its description in RNAcentral is "tRNA-Ser". It matches the Rfam family "tRNA". Rfam says of the family: Transfer RNA (tRNA) molecules are approximately 80 nucleotides in length. Their secondary structure includes four short double-helical elements and three loops (D, anti-codon, and T loops). The record is from RNAcentral. Lineage: Eukaryota; Fungi; Ascomycota; Sordariomycetes; Sordariales; Chaetomiaceae.
GUCACUUUGGCGGAGUGGUUAACGCGCUGCCCUGCUAAUUUCCAGUUAGCGGUUCAGGCAGUUCCCUCGGGAGCGUAGGUUCGAAUCCUACAGGUGACG